CGGCAACAGCUCAAAUUUGAAAUCUGGUCCUUUUGGGGCCCGAGUUGUAAUUUGUAGAGGGUGUUUCGGGUGUGGCCCCGGUCUAAGUUCCUUGGAACAGGACGUCACAGAGGGUGAGAAUCCCGUACGUGCCCGGUGGCCGCCCCCGUGUGAAGCUCCUUCGAC
Molecule: ribosomal RNA, 165 nt
Filed under: Oidiodendron sp.
Lineage: Eukaryota; Fungi; Ascomycota; Leotiomycetes; Myxotrichaceae
Description: partial large subunit ribosomal RNA
Rfam family: Eukaryotic large subunit ribosomal RNA
Source: RNAcentral